Molecule: ribosomal RNA, 913 nt
Filed under: uncultured archaeon
Lineage: Archaea
Description: bacterial SSU rRNA
Rfam family: Archaeal small subunit ribosomal RNA
Source: RNAcentral
UUCCGGUUGAUCCUGCCGGAGGCCACUGCUAUUGGGAUCCGACUAAGCCAUGCGAGUCGAGAGGGUUCGGCCCUCGGCAGACUGCUCAGUAACACGUGGAUAAUCUACCCUUAGGUGGAGGAUACUCUCGGGAAACUGAGAAUAAUACUCCAUAGGUCUAGGAUGCUGGAAUGCACCUAGGUUGAAAGUUCCGACGCCUAAGGACGAGUCUGCGGACUAUCAGGUAGUAGUCAGGGUAAAGACCUGACUAGCCUACGACGGAUACGGGUUGUGAGAGCAAUAGCCCGGAGACGAUAUCUGAGACACGAUAUCGGGCCCUACGGGGCGCAGCAGGCGCGAAAUCUUCACAAUGUGCGAAAGCACGAUGAGGGGAUCCCAAGUGUUGGUUCGUAAGAGUCAUCUGUUUCUUUGUCUAAAAAACAGAGAGAGUAAGAGCUGGGUAAGACGGGUGCCAGCCGCCGCGGUAAUACCUGCAGCUCAAGUGGUGGCCGCUAUUAUUGGGCCUAAAACGUCCGUAGCCGGUUUAGUAAAUGCCUGGGUAAAUUGUGUAGCUCAACUAUACGAAUACCGGGUAGACUGCUAAACUUGAAACCGGGAGAGGUUAGAGGUACUCCUGGGGUAGAGGUGAAAUUCUGUAAUCCUAGGGGGACCACCAGUGGCGAAGGCGUCUAGCUAGAACGGGUUUGACGGUGAGGGACGAAGCCCUGGGGCGCAAACCGGAUUAGAUACCCGGGUAGUCCAGGGUGUAAACGCUGCUCGCUUGAUGUUAGUCGGGCUCCGAGCCCAACUAGUGUCGGAGAGAAGUUGUUAAGCGAGCUGCCUGGGAAGUACGGUCGCAAGGCUGAAACUUAAAGGAAUUGGCGGGGGAGCACAGCAACGGUGGAGCGUGCGGUUUAAUUGGAAUCAACGCGGA